RNAcentral lists this ribosomal RNA (423 nucleotides) under uncultured Gammaproteobacteria bacterium. RNAcentral's name for it is "bacterial SSU rRNA". It matches the Rfam family "Bacterial small subunit ribosomal RNA", at positions 608 to 1029 of the family's 1533-position model. The record is from RNAcentral. Lineage: Bacteria; Pseudomonadati; Pseudomonadota; Gammaproteobacteria.
CUCAACCUGGGAAUGGCAUUCGAUACUGUCCAGCUAGAGUCUGGUAGAGGGAAGUGGAAUUUCCGGUGUAGCGGUGAAAUGCGUAGAUAUCGGAAGGAACACCAGUGGCGAAGGCGACUUCCUGGACCAAGACUGACGCUGAGGUGCGAGAGCGUGGGUAGCAAACAGGAUUAGAUACCCUGGUAGUCCACGCCGUAAACGAUGAGAACUAGCCGUUGGACCCAUUUAAGGGUUUAGUGGCGCAGCUAACGCAAUAAGUUCUCCGCCUGGGGAGUACGGCCGCAAGGCUAAAACUCAAAGGAAUUGACGGGGGCCCGCACAAGCGGUGGAGCAUGUGGUUUAAUUCGAUGCAACGCGAAGAACCUUACCUGCCCUUGACAUCCUCGGAACUUGGUAGAGAUACCUUGGUGCCUUCGGGAGCCG